Epinephelus moara (kelp grouper) is the source of this 3548-nucleotide long non-coding RNA. RefSeq lists it as uncharacterized. The record is from RefSeq and is a predicted model, not a curated record. The transcript is spliced from 21 exons. Lineage: Eukaryota; Metazoa; Chordata; Actinopteri; Perciformes; Serranidae.
AGCACUACUAAACAGGAAUGCACACACCUAAAUGAGAGAGCCACACAGGAUGGGACUCCAUGUGUAUAUCCUGUGUUUUUUGAUGAACACGGAUAUUCAGGCAGUAAAGUCAACUUUUCUGUGUACACAUCAAAAGUGGACAGUUGGUGUCGUUUGGGCAGAACAAGAGUGACACUGGACACUGGAAGUAGAAAGUGGACAUGUCGCUGCAAAGGCACAAAGAGAAGAAUGUGUGUCCACAUUUAUCUCUCUGUGUUGGACCUUCCAGGAAAGACGACACCUCCUACGUGACAGUGACAGGGACGUGGACUUCAGUAGUGACACUAACAACGAUCUGUACAGUGAAGAUAUGGAGCCAUGCCAUUUUGAAAGUGAAAAUCAAAUUGGUUCAGAACAGAUUAAAAAAAAUUGUAGAGUAGUUGUGCAACUGCAAAAGACUGCCUCCCAAACUACCAGCGGAGUUGCAAAAUAACGCAGCAAACAUCCCACAGAAGUUCUCACCUGAGGAAACCAAGUGCCCGUACUGUCCAGGUCCUACACCACCAGACUUGUCCGAGGAGAAAUGUGUCACGAAAAACGCAACAGUUUAUGGCAUUCUUACUGUUCAAAAAGGUGUCCAUGUCUACAUCAAAACGUGCCCUGUCUGCAGAACACCUGUCAGAUUUCAGAAUUACUUGACAGGCUUCUACAAUUACAAUAACAAAGUGUUUCUGACCCUUCAGUUAUGCUCUUUCAUGACAAAUUUACUGAGGACCCACACAGCUAUUGGAAGAUUCAUCAGUGCUAUGGAGCAUCAGCUGAAUUUGACAAUCCACCACAACACCAUCCGGAGGGCAUUUUUUCACUACUCUGCACUUACUGCUUAUGAGUAUGAUUUCUUUUGCUACAAAUGUGGCCACCAUCCCCCAGUGCUAAUAGCAGAUGCCAACUGGAAGCUGUCUUUUGAUGUGCCAGUGAGCACACUGAAGAGGCCAGCUAUCAAAGAAGUCAAGGAUGAAGAUCUUUCAGUCAACAUCACUGCAAAGUGGGACCGACUGGAAAAAGAAAUUAUAGCCAGUGGCAUCUGUGAAGAGUUGAAAGCCCACAACCCGUAUUCAGCGGAGUUGACACACUCCUCUUUUGUGCCGUGGAUGGGACCAGCUACUAGAGUUGGGGAUGUGCUACCGAAGACUGAGAUCCUGAAAGGUUUCAAUAGUAAGGCAACAACAGACCCCAAAACGCAAAAAGAUCGACGCUUCAAUGAGGAUGAGCUUCUUCGGUUGAUUGAAUCAAAGAAGGCAAGCAAGAGUGAGCUAAUUAAAGCUUGCUCUGAGCUGGGUGUUCCCACUGAGGGAUCUGAGACUGAUUUGAUCAACUGACUUGAGGAGAUGCUCCUCUACAAGGAUGUUUACCCAAAAAUGUUCGCUAAGCUGCAGAAAACAGGGGGUGGUGUACUGCACACGGGCUGCUCUCACUCAGUUGUUUAUUACUGCUCCCCACUUCUGUGGCAGGAAAGUGCGAGGGACCACGCAGAUGGUCUGUUAAGCUUUGCAAAACCACCAACCAUUUACAUUUCUGACAUUGCUGGUCGUGUUGCAAGACACACCAACAACAGGACAAAGCAGAGAUUUUUUUAAUCCAAAUGAUGGAAGACUUUGCUCGCCUACAAGUGAAAACAUACAGGCAGCACAAGAUAAAAGUCUUAAAGUAAAUCUUCCUUGGAUGAAAAAUCUUUUGUACAGGAGGAAUAACACGAACCCCCGAAAUGAUGUAAAUCCUAAAGAACAUUUGCAAAGGCCACAUCCCAUCACAGGCUCUGCUGAGCGGUACUCAAACAAAGCCGGAGGAAGUACUCCGCAGCCUCAACCUUGUCCCUGAUUUGUGCAGUUUUGUCAAUUCCUCAGAGGCAGAACAAAACAGAGAGCUGUCCUUUGACCGGUACUUCCUCUGCCAAAUGAAGGAGACACAUUUCUUGUUUUGUACAAGGUUGGUCUUCCAUUUGCACAACAACAACAACAUAAAUCAAAAAUUCAUCAAAAAAAUGGGAGACACAAACCAAGGACAAUCUUGAAAUUGGGCCAGAUGGACGGUUGAGGCUUACAAGUACAGUGGUGUCUGCCCCAGGAGGAAAUGUGGAUGUUGAAAUGCACGAUGAGCAAAUUGUGGCCAAAAUGAGCUUCUCAAUAGGGCAGUUCCUAAUCCAGGAAGAGCACAAGGCAAAACUGCUUGAGCUCUACAAGGCACCAGCAACGGACUAUGCCAUUGUUCAGGUGGAACGGGCAUUAGUUUAUGUGGCUGACCUUUUUAAGUAUUUGCCCACAAUCUCUCCUAGAGGAUGACCUCUACACCUCGUAUCCAUGGCUUACAGAUGAUGCAGUGAAUGUGAGAGUUCUCCAGCUGACAAAACCUCUGGAGAAUCUUGGUGGAGGAGCUGGAUCAAUGGGGAAUCAAUCAGCUCCCGCCAUUUGCAUUGCAUCCAGGGCUUAAAGCAAGACUCAAAGGUUCUGUUUCCACGAGUCGUUGGCCAUCAAACUCCAGAGACUGGCAAUAAUUUCAUUCUGUGGGUAUUUGAUGGCUCAAAAAAAGAAAUCAGGGUCUACGAUUCCCUUGAAAAGUACACCUUGAUUUCUCCACCUGAUAUGGACAUUCUAAGCCUUGCAUUUCAGAACAUAUGGAGGCUGAAGGAAUGGUCCAUUUCAUAUCCAGACCAGUGGAGACAGAGAGAUGGCGUCAACUGUGGUGUCUUCGUCUGCACGCUGAGCUUGAUAUCAAAGGGACAGACAUGAUGAAUGAACCCUUGAACCAAGUCCAGUUGGGGCAUCUCAGGAUGUAUCAUGCAGCCUGCUUGAUUGCCGAUUCUGUUCCUAAGGGGAAGAAAGUGCGUGAGCAUGGCAGAGGCAAAUCAUGCCUGCAAUUACUACGACAGCCCUGGAAAAGGGCAGUCAAGGCAGUUGUAUCCACAUGUGCAGGAGGAGGACUGGGUGAAAUGCGAGACAUGCAAUGGCUGGCUGCACAAAGACUGUGCCUGUUAUGAGCCCAGUCAGUCAGGCAUUUUCACAUGUGGUUGUGACCUGCCUGAGCCAUACGCCUUCACCAGUACUUUGACCUGCCUCAAGAACAAAGGCGUUGAGGGCCUCAUUUCCAAAGGAAGAAUAAAGGAACUGGAAGAAAUGCUCGACAGUGGGGAGAGGAAAUCCAACAGGAUGUUCCUUUGGCAAAACCCUGGGGAAACCGUGCCCUGAAAACAAUUCUUAACGGAAAGCCAACAUGUUUCAAUGAGAAACACAUGAAUGACCUCAUUAAUCUGAUAAAGCCAACGCUGUCAUUGGAUUACAGCCUCCUCAAAAACAUUGAUUUUGUCAUUGAUGUCAUGGUGCCAGAGACCACAAUUGACAUCCUGGUGAGACUAGAAGGUUUUUCAAGAUUUUAUGCCGAGAAAAUCCUCGGAACGAUCGAGUGAUCAGGUGCUGGAUCAAUCAAGAUUCGACUGUUACUUUUGUUACUGUACUGUGGGCUACUUGUGUUGAAUUUUUAAUUAAACUUUUACAUUUUUGUAUUUCCAUUUGAUG